AACGAACGCUGGCGGCAUGCCUAACACAUGCAAGUCGAACGAGAUCUUCGGGUCUAGUGGCGCACGGGUGCGUAACGCGUGGGAAUCUGCCCUUUGGUUCGGAAUAACAGUUGGAAACGACUGCUAAUACCGGAUGAUGACGAAAGUCCAAAGAUUUAUCGCCAGAGGAUGAGCCCACGUAGGAUGAGAUAGUUGGUGUGGUAAAGGCGCACCAAGGCGACGAUCCUUAGCUGGUCUGAGAGGGUGAUCAGCCACACUGGGACGGAGACACGGCCCAGACUCCUACGGGAGGCAGCAGUGGGGAAUAUUGGACUAUGGGCGAAAGCCUGAUCCAGCAAUGCCGCGUGAGUGAUGAAGGCCUUAGGGUUGUAAAGCUCUUUUACCCGUGAUGAUAAUGACAGUACCGGGAGAAUAAGCUGCGACUAACUCCGUGCCAGCCGCCGCCGUAA
RNAcentral lists this ribosomal RNA (449 nucleotides) under uncultured bacterium. Its description in RNAcentral is "partial 16S ribosomal RNA". It matches the Rfam family "Bacterial small subunit ribosomal RNA", at positions 29 to 523 of the family's 1533-position model. The record is from RNAcentral.